UUUUUAUUUUCAUAUGUCACAUGCUGAUUAUUUAUUGUUGGAUUGGGCUUUCCAGCACCUGCUAUUCGCACCCACACACAAAGCCCAUUUCGCAUUCUUAUUUCAUGUCCAUUUCUUUUACUCUUUUUUUUAGCUGUUUUCUUUUAAUUAUUUAAAAAAUAUUUCCUUGUUUCAUAAAAAUCUAAAAAAAUAUUUUUUAACUUCCUUAGUGUAUCAUUCAAUUUAUUUUAAUUUUUUAUUUUCGUUUUAUUUUAUGUUAAUAUUUUAUUUUCAUUAUUUAGUUCAAAUAAGCCAUUUUAACACACUUUUUUUCAUUAAUUUUAU
Molecule: long non-coding RNA, 324 nt
Filed under: Lathyrus oleraceus (garden pea)
Lineage: Eukaryota; Viridiplantae; Streptophyta; Magnoliopsida; Fabales; Fabaceae
Description: Pisum sativum (pea) long non-coding RNA (PSAT_LNC016714)
Source: RNAcentral